AACUGAUUCUUUUCUAUUGUGCUACAAGGAAAGCGAAAAGUCACGCUUCCCAGUUUCAAAACUGUUGAGGGUUGAGUCUUCGAUUGAUCCUGAAAUUGAGAAAAAGAAGAUGAUCAGAGAUAAGAAUGAGAAGAUGAUGAAGAACAAAGAGAUUGGCAAUUAAAGGAAGAAGAUGAAGUGGUCGUUAACGAAGGAAACGAAGAAGCAACGUUUUGUGUGUUGGAUUGAAAAGGUGAGUUGGGCCAUGUUGGUUUUAGUUUCGGCCCAGUAGAAAAAUGAGUUUAUGAGUGUAGUUGAAGCCCAUUCGGUUAAGUAUGUUGUUAGAGUCUUAUAACUAAGUUAUGUGAGUUUAGUUGAAUUAAGUAAGUGGUUUAGGGUUUAGAAACACGUCAAACAUAUCACCAGGGAGAUGAUAAUGAAGGACAAAGAGGAAGUUUUGGCAAUUAUGAUUGGUGGUGGUAGACUCUAAUGGUGAAGAUGAGACGUUACCUUCUUUUCAAUCAAUUGUUGAUGAUGAAACAUUUGAUGAUGAAGAUGAUGAAGCAGCUUAAGUUUCAGUUUGAUUUGAUUUUCAGGUUUUAGUUAAAUUCAGUUUGAGUUUAAGUAUGACUUUGAGUUUUAGUUUGGUUUCAGUUUCAGACUUUAAGUAUGAUUACUUUUAGUUUGGUUUGAGUUUUAAGUAUGACUUUGACUUUAUGUUUGAGUUUCAGCUUUGGUUCUAAUGUUUCAGACUUUGAAUAUUUGAGUUUUAAAAAUUCAGUGUUUAAGA
Long non-coding RNA from Arabidopsis lyrata subsp. lyrata, 769 nucleotides. RefSeq lists it as uncharacterized. The record is from RefSeq and is a predicted model, not a curated record. NCBI's taxonomy places the organism in Eukaryota, Viridiplantae, Streptophyta, Magnoliopsida, Brassicales, Brassicaceae. The transcript is spliced from 2 exons.